ACGCUCGACACCUACGGAGGCAGCAGUGGGGAAUAUUGCACAAUGGGGGAAACCCUGAUGCAACAACGCCGCGUGAAGGAAGACGGUUUUCGGAUUGUAAACUUCUGUUCUUAGUGAAGAUAGUGACGGUAGCUAAGGAGCAAGCCACGGCUAACUACGUGCCAGCAGCCGCGGUAAUCUGAGCGGGCUGGCAAGGC
RNAcentral lists this ribosomal RNA (197 nucleotides) under uncultured bacterium. RNAcentral's name for it is "partial 16S ribosomal RNA". It matches the Rfam family "Bacterial small subunit ribosomal RNA", at positions 328 to 539 of the family's 1533-position model. The record is from RNAcentral.